UUGAUUCUGCCAGAGACUCAACACGGGUGUGAUUCUGCCAGUAGUCAUAUGCUUGUCUCAAAGAUUAAGCCAUGCAUGUCUAAGUAUAAGCAAUUGUACGGUGAAACUGCGAAUGGCUCAUUAAAUCAGUUAUCGUUUAUUUGAUAGUACCUUACUACUUGGAUAACCGUGGUAAUUCUAGAGCUAAUACAUGCUGAAAACCUCGACUUCGGAAGGGGUGUAUUUAUUAGAUAAAAAGCCAAUGCCCUUCGGGGCUCUUUGGUGAUUCACAAUAACUUAACGAAUCGCAUGGCCUUGCGCCGGCGAUGGUUCAUUCAAAUUUCUGCCCUAUCAACUUUCGAUUGUUGGGUAGUGGCCAACAAUGGUGUUUACGGGUAACGGGAAAUUAGGGUUUGAUUCCGGAGAGGGAGCCUGAGAAACGGCUACCACAUCCAAGGAAGGCAGCAGGCGCGCAAAUUAUCCAAUCCCGACACGGGGAGAUAGUGACAAUAAAUACUGAUAUAGGGCCCUUUAGGGUCUUAUAAUUGGAAUGAGUAGUAUUUAAAUCCCCUUAACGAGGAACAAUUGGAGGGCAAGUCUGGUGCCAGCANCCGCGGUAAUUCCAGCUCCAAUAGCGUAUAUUAAAUUUGUUGCAGUUAAAAAGCUCGUCGUUGAAACUUGGAUCUGGUCGGUCGGUCCGCCUCACCGCGUGCACUGAUUCGACCGGAUCUUUCCUUCUGGGGAAGCUCAUGCCCUUCAUUGGGCGUGUAGGGGAACCAGGACUUUUACUUUGAAAAAAUUAGAGUGUUCAAAGCAGGCCUAUGCUCGAAUACAUUAGCAUGGAAUAAUAGAAUAGGACGUGUGGUUCUAUUUUGUUGGUUUCUAGGACCGCCGUAAUGAUUAAUAGGGAUAGUCGGGGGCAUCAGUAUUCCGUUGUCAGAGGUGAAAUUCUUGGAUUUACGGAAGACUAACUACUGCGAAAGCAUUUGCCAAGGAUGUUUUCAUUAAUCAGUGAACGAAAGUUAGGGGAUCGAAGACGAUCAGAUACCGUCGUAGUCUUAACCAUAAACUAUGCCGACUAGGGAUCGGACGGUGUUAUUAUUUUGACCCGUUCGGCACCUUACGAGAAAUCAAAGUUUUUGGGUUCUGGGGGGAGUAUGGUCGCAAGGCUGAAACUUAAAGAAAUUGACGGAAAGGCACCACCAGGAGUGGAGCCUGCGGCUUAAUUUGACUCAACACGGGGAAACUCACCAGGUCCAGACACAAUGAGGAUUGACAGAUUGAGAGCUCUUUCUUGAUUUUGUGGGUGGUGGUGCAUGGCCGUUCUUAGUUGGUGGAGUGAUUUGUCUGCUUAAUUGCGAUAACGAACGAGACCUUAACCUGCUAAAUAGCCAGGCUAGCUUUGGCUAGUCGCCGGCUUCUUAGAGGGACUAUCGGCUCAAGCCGAUGGAAGUUUGAGGCAAUAACAGGUCUGUGAUGCCCUUAGAUGUUCUGGGCCGCACGCGCGCUACACUGACCGAACCAACGAGUAUACUCCUUGGCCGAAAGGUCUGGGUAAUCUUGUUAAAUUCGGUCGUGCUGGGGAUAGAGCAUUGCAAUUAUUGCUCUUCAACGAGGAAUGCCUAGUAAGCGCAAGUCAUCAGCUUGCGUUGAUUACGUCCCUGCCCUUUGUACACACCGCCCGUCGCUACUACCGAUUGAAUGGCUCAGUGAGGCGUUCGGACUGGCUCAAAGAGGUCGGCAACGACCACUCAAGGCCGGAAAGUUCGUCAAACUUGGUCAUUUAGAGGAAGUAAAAGUCGUAAGUUU
RNAcentral lists this ribosomal RNA (1788 nucleotides) under Siphula coriacea. Its description in RNAcentral is "SSU rRNA". It matches the Rfam family "Eukaryotic small subunit ribosomal RNA". The record is from RNAcentral. Lineage: Eukaryota; Fungi; Ascomycota; Lecanoromycetes; Pertusariales; Icmadophilaceae.